GUUUUCACUUGAAAUGAUAAUAACUUAAUUACUUCCCCUCUUUUACAUUUCUUCUUUCUUUCUCAAAUAAUUUAUUUAUUAAUUGCAUUUUUUUAUUUUUGAGGAAACAAUUUAGUUUUCCUUGAUGGAUGGUGGAAUGCAAUGUAACGAUCUAAGAUAGGCCCAUUAUAAUAAUAUAAGUCCAAGUUAUAGUCAUCCUAGUUUCCUGCUCUGUAGAGCUUCCCUCCAUACAUGUUAGUCAUCAAUUUUCUAAACAAUUUAACAUUUUAUUAAUUUCUUGGCAAUUUUAUGUGUUGUUAGUGCUGAAAUAAUCAUAUAGGACAUUCAUUUUUCAGUUUCCAAUUAUGGGUUACCAUUACCACUCAGUUCAUUUUAAUGUAGAUUCAAUAGCACAUCCUUAGAGUAAGAGUCCUUGAUACCUUUAUUUUUCAGAAAGAGCCACCUGAGCUCCAAACCAAUUCUAAGUCAUAUCCUAUGGCCAUCAAUUCUACAUGUAGACGGUUGGAAAAAACAUUUAGAAGAUGUUAUGCACCAGGUUCAUCAUUAUCUUCAAAAACAUCUUCAUAAGUAAAAUCUAGCAUGAUAAUUCCAUAAGUAAUUUUUAAUUCUUGAGUUUGGAUUCAGUUGAUAUAAAAUAAUACUUUCACUUAGCAUUUUCAAACGGUGAAACAUCUCGGAGAAUGAAUGUUUUGAUCCUACUCCAGUAUUAUUUUAUGUAAAGUAUAUUGGGCAGCGAAGCGACUUAUGUUUUCCAUGAGGGAUUUGAUUGAACCCCAUUUUAGAUAGAUGUCAUUGUAAAACUAGAUUUGUUAGAUGAGUAAUCUAUGUAUGAGCAAUUAGUUCUUCAUAAGGAUAUUUCUAACCAUGUUUAACAUUAUUUCGACACACUCACAAAAAUAAUUUUAUGUAUGUGUUCAAAUAUUUUUAUUUGGUGUUGUGCCUAAGUAUUUCUUAUUUCUUAUAAGAGUAAUACUAUUUUAUGAUAACUUUUGACUCAAUUUUUAUUUUUUUUCUUUUUAUUGGUCAAAAAGAAUAGAGAGAGUAAGAAUGCAAUGCAAAUAUAACAAAAAAAAGUGUUCAAAAAUUAUACUUUUUUUUUUUUUUGAAGGAUAAAAAUUAUACUUUUAAAAUUGACAUGAGAAGCUCUAAAAGAAGGAGGUAAAAUAAUAGUUAUUUUGGUCUUUGAAUGUAAAUCGUGUGAUCACAAUAGUCUCUCAAUGAAGUUGGUUGUUUAUGAUUCCAAGACUAGUACUUUGAAUAUUCCUGAGUUUCAAAAUAAUUAUAGACAAAUAUGCCGAAAUUAACGUCUACAUUGAUAUCAACUUAAGUAGGUAUUCAACUACAACAUAUAAAUAAAUGGUUAGUUUUUGUUUGUGUAAUUUAUUUUAUGCUUCCUUUGAUUCUUGGUGACUUGUUGGAUCAUUGUUAAUCAAUGGUUGUUAGUGAGUAGUGAGCCUUGGUCCAGUAUCCGAUGCCGAGGUCCCCAGAGGUUUUUUAACCUUCACUAAAGCUAGCUAAUUUUGGAUUUGGUGAAAGUUGUCGUAGAGAACAAGAUGAAGAGAGAAGAUAGGAACGUACGGAGGAAAGAGGACAAUGAUGAUGACAUUUAGUAAAGAGGAAUUAUUAAUUACUAGUCUGAAUUGAUGCACUUGGUUCAAGCUUC
RNAcentral lists this long non-coding RNA (1663 nucleotides) under Medicago truncatula (barrel medic). RNAcentral's name for it is "lncRNA gene13087". The record is from RNAcentral. Lineage: Eukaryota; Viridiplantae; Streptophyta; Magnoliopsida; Fabales; Fabaceae.